This 496-nucleotide ribosomal RNA is filed under the name uncultured bacterium. RNAcentral's name for it is "partial 16S ribosomal RNA". It matches the Rfam family "Bacterial small subunit ribosomal RNA", at positions 29 to 507 of the family's 1533-position model. The record is from RNAcentral.
AUGCACGCUGGCGGCGUGCCUAAUACCUGCAAGUCGAGCGAACAGACGAGGAGCUUGCUCCUCUGACGUUAGCGGCGGACGGGUGAGUAACACGUGGAUAACCUACCUAUAAGACUGGGAUAACUUCGGGAAACCGGGGCUAAUACCGGAUAAUAUAUUGAACCGCAUGGUUCAAUAGUGAAAGACGGUUUUGCUGUCACUUAUAGAUGGAUCCGCGCCGCAUUAGCUAGUUGGUAAGGUAAUGGCUUACCAAGGCAACGAUGCGUAGCCGACCUGAGAGGGUGAUCGGCCACACUGGAACUGAGACACGGUCCAGACUCCUACGGGAGGCAGCAGUAGGGAAUCUUCCGCAAUGGGCGAAAGCCUGACGGAGCAACGCCGCGUGAGUGAUGAAGGUCUUCGGAUCGUAAAACUCUGUUAUUAGGGAAGAACAAAUGUGUAAGUAACUAUGCACGUCUUGACGGUACCUAAUCAGAAAGCCACGGCUAACUACGUG